CCUGUCCACACAGGUAGGGAUGUGACUCUCGGCGUCUUUGGCGUCGAGAGUUGAACCAUGCA
RNAcentral lists this non-coding RNA (62 nucleotides) under unclassified sequences. RNAcentral describes it as "eL15-Euryarchaeota ribosomal protein leader". It matches the Rfam family "eL15-Euryarchaeota ribosomal protein leader". The record is from RNAcentral.